RNAcentral lists this long non-coding RNA (577 nucleotides) under Elaeis guineensis (African oil palm). RNAcentral's name for it is "long non-coding RNA (EGUI_LNC003993)". The record is from RNAcentral. Lineage: Eukaryota; Viridiplantae; Streptophyta; Magnoliopsida; Arecales; Arecaceae.
UUAAACCCUCGCUUUCAAUCAGAAAAAUACUCGUAAUAAUCUCGGCUGCGUGAUAAUUAGGAGAGAAUUAUUAGUUUUUUAAUGUAUUGGUGACGUAACCACGAAGGAUCGCGUUUUUGGAUUGAGAUAGAUCUUUGAAUCGGUAAAUUGACUGUAGUCGGUUGGAUACCAAAUCAUUUAUUCAAUGAUAGCAUUAAAAUAAACCAUAGUACGCGCAUCACCAACUGCCCAGCCGACCACCCCAACCAUCAUCCGCCGGGGCAUUAAAAUUCGACGCGUGUCUUAUUCUGGUUCGACAAUUCCUAUUUGUUGCCCAACAUCCGAUCCACGUCAGAUCUGGUCCAGCCAAAAGUAGACUAUUAGAUAGAUAGGCAUCUCCACGCCACACGAAAAGCGUAGUCGCCGAGGAACGGAGAGGACGGAAAUUAAUAAAAGCGGUCCUUCUAUUUUGCCGGAGUUACACGUCCAUGCUCUUUGCCUUGGAAAGUUUAAAAGUCAUCGAACACAUUAUAUUUUAUUCCGAAUCGAUCCUUCUGUCUAUGGUAAAUUACUCAUGAGUGCAAACAUGAAGCUCCAA